Molecule: ribosomal RNA, 484 nt
Filed under: uncultured bacterium
Lineage: Bacteria
Description: partial 16S ribosomal RNA
Rfam family: Bacterial small subunit ribosomal RNA
Source: RNAcentral
AUUGAACGCUGGCGGCAGGCCUAACACAUGCGAGUCGAGCGGAUGAAGGGAGCUUGCUCCUGGAUUCAGCGGCGGACGGGUGAGUAAUGCCUAGGAAUCUGCCUGGUAGUGGGGGAUAACGUCCGGAAACGGGCGCUAAUACCGCAUACGUCCUGAGGGAGAAAGUGGGGGAUCUUCGGACCUCACGCUAUCAGAUGAGCCUAGGUCGGAUUAGCUAGUUGGUGGGGUAAAGGCCUACCAAGGCGACGAUCCGUAACUGGUCUGAGAGGAUGAUCAGUCACACUGGAACUGAGACACGGUCCAGACUCCUACGGGAGGCAGCAGUGGGGAAUAUUGGACAAUGGGCGAAAGCCUGAUCCAGCCAUGCCGCGUGUGUGAAGAAGGUCUUCGGAUUGUAAAGCACUUUAAGUUGGGAGGUAGGGCAGUAAGUUAAUACCUUGCUGUUUUGACGUUACCAACAGAAUAAGCACCGGCUAACUUCGUG